CGACCGCGUGGAGGAUGAAGGUCUUCGGAUUGUAAACUCCUGUCAGUGGGAAAAAGGGGAACGUGCUCAUACCACGUUUCAUUGAUUGUACCCGCAGAGGAAGCCCCGGCUAACUCUGUGCCAGCAGCCGCGGUAAUACAGAGGGGGCAAGCGUUAUUCGGAAUUAUUGGGCGUAAAGGGCGCGUAGGCGGCCCUUCAAGUGGUAGGUGAAAUCCCUCGGCUCAACCGAGGAGCUGCCCGCCAAACUGAAGAGCUUGAGUCCGGGAGAGGUGAGUGGAAUUCCCAGUGUAGCGGUGAAAUGCGUAGAUAUUGGGAGGAACACCAGUGGCGAAGGCGGCUCACUGGACCGGAACUGACGCUGAGGCGCGAAAGCGUGGGGAGCAAACGGGAUUAGAUACCCCGGUAGUCCACGCUGUAAACGAUGAGUGCUUGGUGUAGCGGGUAUCGACCCCUGCUGUGCCGAAGCUAACGCAUUAAGCACUCCGCCUGGGGAGUACGGUCGCAAGGCUG
RNAcentral lists this ribosomal RNA (510 nucleotides) under uncultured Acidobacteriota bacterium. RNAcentral's name for it is "bacterial SSU rRNA". It matches the Rfam family "Bacterial small subunit ribosomal RNA", at positions 394 to 896 of the family's 1533-position model. The record is from RNAcentral. Lineage: Bacteria; Pseudomonadati; Acidobacteriota.